AUUGAACGCUGGCGGCAGGCCUAACACAUGCAAGUCGAACGAGUGGCGGACGGGUGAGUAAUGUCUGGGAAACUGCCUGAUGGAGGGGGAUAACUACUGGAAACGGUAGCUAAUACCGCAUACCAACGGAUGUGCCCAGAUGGGAAUAGCUAGUAGGUGGGGUACAGGCUCACCUAGGCGACGAUCCCUAGCUGGUCUGAUAGGAUGACCAGCCACACUGGAACUGAGACACGGUCGAGACUCCGACGGGAGGCAGCAGUGGGGAAUAUUGCACAAGGGGCGCAAUCCUGAUGCAGCCAUGCCGAGUGUAUGAAGAAGGCCUUCGGGUUGUAGAGUACUUUCAGCGGGGAGGCGUUAUCCGCAGAAGAAGCACCGGCUAACUCCGUGCCAGCGGCCGCGGUAAUAC
RNAcentral lists this ribosomal RNA (406 nucleotides) under uncultured bacterium. RNAcentral describes it as "partial 16S ribosomal RNA". It matches the Rfam family "Bacterial small subunit ribosomal RNA", at positions 30 to 526 of the family's 1533-position model. The record is from RNAcentral.